Molecule: long non-coding RNA, 290 nt
Filed under: Homo sapiens (human)
Lineage: Eukaryota; Metazoa; Chordata; Mammalia; Primates; Hominidae
Description: non-protein coding lnc-RGS8-5:1
Source: RNAcentral
GGAUACCCAAGAGGAAGGUCAGCUCCGCCGAAGGGGCCGCCAAGGAAGAGCCCAACAGGAGAUCGGGGCGGUUGUCAGCUAAGCCUCCUGCAACAGUGGAAGCGAAGCCGAAAAAGGCAGCAGCGAAGGAUAAAUCUUCAGACAAAAAAGUGCAAACAAAAGGGAAAAGGGGAGCAAAGGGAAAACAGGCCGAAGUGGCUAACCAAGAAACUAAAGAUUUACCUGCAGAAAAUGGGGAAACGAAAACUGAGGAGAGUCCAGCCUCUGAUGAAGCAGGAGAGAAAGAAGCC